This 380-nucleotide ribosomal RNA is filed under the name uncultured eukaryote. RNAcentral describes it as "partial 18S ribosomal RNA". It matches the Rfam family "Eukaryotic small subunit ribosomal RNA", at positions 592 to 976 of the family's 1831-position model. The record is from RNAcentral.
CAAUAGCGUAUAUUAAAGUUGUUGCGGUUAAAAAGCUCGUAGUUGGAUUUCUGCCGAGGACGACCGGUCCGCCCUCUGGGUGUGUAUCUGGUUUGGCCUGGGCAUCUUCUUGGAGAACGUAGCUGCACUUGACUGUGUGGUGCGGUGUCCAGGACUUUUACUUUGAGGAAAUUAGAGUGUUUCAAGCAGGCACACGCCUUGAAUACAUUAGCAUGGAAUAAUAAGAUAGGACCUCGGUUCUAUUUUGUUGGUUUCUAGAGCUGAGGUAAUGAUUAAUAGGGAUAGUUGGGGGCAUUCGUAUUUAACUGUCGGAGGUGAAAUUCUUGGAUUUGUUAAAGACGGACUACUGCGAAAGCAUUUGCCAAGGAUGUUUUCAUUGA